GAGACCUGAACAUAUCUGUCCACCAACGGAACAGACGUUGAGAGGAUCUGCAGAGAAGAAGCAGCAGAGAAACCCCAAAUCCAGAAGAACCAUCAUCAUCAUCAUCAUGAUCCUCAUCAGGACAAUCCAGUGACCCGUGACCCGGAGGAGCAGACGGUCGAGCUGCAUCGAGACCCUGAUGAGCCUCAUGUGAGGUUACCAGAGAUGAAGCGGUUUUCCCCUCCUCCUCAUCCUCCUCCUCCUCCUCCAAGCGCCUCGAACACGAAGUGACAAGAACAAAUGAAACAAACCCAUAGAUAAAGUUAAUUCUCACCUUCACACGUGACGUGGACUCUUCUCCUCCUCUGUCGUUGCUGCUGUUUCUUCUCUUCUAUCUGCUCAUGAUGAUCCGAGACGAGGGCGGAGAGGAUGUGGAGUGUUGACAGAACAGCAGCCGCACAACGGUCAGUUCCUCUAUCUGACAGGAUGAGGAAGUAAAAGUUCACUUGCGUUACAAUCAUAAAAAAGAAAAAAAAAAGAGGCCGGAAGAAAAAAAAGAAAAAAAGGACCGUAUCUAUGCAAAGUAGGCGACGCACUGCGCAAGUGACACUGCACCGCUUUGACCUGAGGGAGGAUGAGGGGCAGAAAUACACUUAAUGGAUUAUAGAUUAUUACUGUAAUAGAUUAUUUCAUUCCCUUCAAAUGAGCCCAGAUACAAAGUAUAGAUUAUGGAGGGAGACAUUGAGGUCUGCACCUGCAGGAACAGUUUUAAAAAGUGUACAUGAAAAAUAAAAACAUUUUAAUGAAGCUCAUUGUUACUUAUCAUAUAAACAAGAUAUUAACCGGAUCACAAGGCGAAUAUCUUCAAAAGUUACAUGUUUAACAUGAAUAUUUCCAUGGUGGUUGAUGAUGUAAUAAUGAACAUGUGGAUACUUCAGUAAUUAAUGGAAAUAUUUAGGUAUUUAGGUCCAUUGUCUUAUGUGUUCUGUGUAUACCAGACAGUUGCUGCUCAAUAUGAAACAAACAUUAAAUCUGUUAUCUCUUAUACGAGAUAAAUUUGAAUCAUUGUAGAAAAAAAACAUUUAUUCCAA
Scophthalmus maximus (turbot) is the source of this 1070-nucleotide long non-coding RNA. RefSeq lists it as uncharacterized. The record is from RefSeq and is a predicted model, not a curated record. The transcript is spliced from 2 exons. NCBI's taxonomy places the organism in Eukaryota, Metazoa, Chordata, Actinopteri, Pleuronectiformes, Scophthalmidae.